RNAcentral lists this ribosomal RNA (157 nucleotides) under uncultured fungus. RNAcentral's name for it is "5.8S ribosomal RNA". It matches the Rfam family "5.8S ribosomal RNA". From Rfam's summary of the family: 5.8S ribosomal RNA (5.8S rRNA) is a component of the large subunit of the eukaryotic ribosome. It is transcribed by RNA polymerase I as part of the 45S precursor that also contains 18S and 28S rRNA. The record is from RNAcentral. Lineage: Eukaryota; Fungi.
AAACUUUCAACAACGGAUCUCUUGGUUCUCGCAUCGAUGAAGAACGCAGCGAAAUGCGAUAAGUAAUGUGAAUUGCAGAAUUCAGUGAAUCAUAGAAUCUUUGAACGCACAUUGCGCCCCUUGGUAUUCCGAGGGGCAUGCCUGUUCGAGCGUCAUU